Molecule: RNA transcript, 6005 nt
Organism: Fundulus heteroclitus (mummichog)
Lineage: Eukaryota; Metazoa; Chordata; Actinopteri; Cyprinodontiformes; Fundulidae
Gene name: muscleblind-like protein 1
Exons: 12
Source: RefSeq, a predicted model, not a curated record
UGUUGCUACUGCCGCCCAGCGAGCAGCACUUCCCUGCAGCAGACAGACGAUCCAGAGGCUGGGGAAUCAGUAAAGACACAACCCAGCCCGUCUUUGCUCAGCUCGGCGCAGCCCGACUCAGACACUCGAAGAGGCUGGGGAGGGGGAUAUACCGCAACGCAUUCAAACACACACACGCGUGCGCGCACUAAGGCACACUCCUCCUCUCUCACUCACUCACUCGCUCUCUUUCUCUCUCUCUCACUCUGGUGCUCAGCUCUGCGCUGCUCCUUCACUCAUUCGCUGCUGAUUCACUCACUCCCUCGCUUGCCUCUCCUCUGCCAGUCGCUCUGCCUCGCUGUGUUCCGCCUGCCUUCCCCCUGCCCGCCCGCCUGCCUGAGAAUGGUCCAGCCGGUGCCUAAGGGUCUGCUGUCGCGGCCUGUCUGAAUGCGUGCAUAAACACACGAGAGCCAGUCGACACACGGAAGCUCACACUCACAGAACCGGAGAGCAAUGUGAGAGAGGAAGUGCCUUCCCUGAUGUCUGCUGCAGCUUUGACCUGCUUCUACAGCUGAAGCUUCAUCCUCCCCUCUCCCCUCGCUCGCUCGCUUGCUGCCACAGUUGUAAAAGUAAAAAGGACAACGACCGACCCCACCCUUUCCCAGUCGCUACACCAUCAGCAUCCUCUCUAGCAUCAGCCCUACUCACCAGACGGCCCCGCUGCUCCCCCGCCAGCCGACCGGCCUUACCGCUGCACCACCAGGCCCCACAAACAAGCAUUUCACCCACCUUGCCUUUCACCAUCGCCUUCUACCCCUUGAGGCCUCCGCUCAGUCCUCAGUGUCCUUAACCUUCCCGAAGCAGACUAUAUAGACUGUCACCUUCGUUGCCUGCUUCGAUACACCCGAGCAGAGGGGCUCUCCGUUUCGGAUGCCGCAUAAGGGAGUGAGCAAUAAACAGAAACAGUGAGGAGGGACGACGUGCUAGGCUGAGGGGUCUCCUGGGUGUCAGAGCUUUGCCAGGCGUCGCUUGCAUCAAGGAAAAUGACCCAUUAACGUCCACAGCAAGCACUGUCCUGCAGCAUUUCACCAGGGCGCAUUUUUCCUGAAUGUUUCAUCUCAACUCAUCACAAGCAGCAACUAUACCAAGGAAGACUUUCUUUUUUUAAAAAAAAAAAGAAACGGCAAUUGUGGAUUAAAACACUAGAAGUACUUUAUCCGCACUUGAACGCAUCUCUGCUAGGAACACCUUUUGCCUGCGGCGUCGCCAUGGCCAUGAACAUGAACAUGGCGCACAUCCGCGACACAAAGUGGCUCACACUGGAAGUAUGCCGGGAGUUUCAGAGGGGCACGUGCUCGCGCUCCGACCAGGAGUGCAAGUUCGCCCACCCAGCCAAGAGCUGCCAGGUGGACAACGGACGGGUGAUCGCCUGCUUUGAUUCGCUUAAGGGCCGUUGUUCCAGGGAGAACUGCAAGUACCUGCACCCUCCUCCCCAUUUAAAGACCCAGCUGGAGAUCAAUGGCAGGAACAAUCUGAUUCAGCAGAAGAAUAUGGCCAUGCUGGCCCAGCAGAUGCAGCUCGCCAAUGCUAUGAUGCCCGGCACCCAGCUACCCCCUAUGCCCAUGUUUUCGAUGACCCCAGGCCUGGCCACCAACGCCAGCGCAGCAGCAGCUGCCGCCGCUGCAGCCUUUAAUCCCUACCUGAGCCCUGUGUCUCCGAGCCUGAUGCCUCAAGAGAUCAUGCCCAGCACCCCCAUGCUAAUGGCCUCCAGUCCCACGGUCAACCAAGUUCCCAACGCCGCUGCGGCUGCAGCCCAGAAACUGCUGAGAACGGACCGGCUCGAGGUGUGCCGCGAGUAUCAGAGGGGAAACUGUGCUCGGGGGGAGGGCGAGUGCCGCUUCGCUCACCCCGCAGACAGCACCAUGAUCGACACCAAUGACAACACCGUCACCGUGUGCAUGGACUACAUCAAGGGUCGGUGCACCAGGGAAAAGUGCAAGUACUUCCACCCUCCGGCCCAUCUGCAGGCCAAAAUUAAGGCCACCCAGCAUCAGGUGAACCAGGCCACGGCUGCCGCGGCCAUGACUCAGUCGGCUGUCAAAUCACUGAAGCGACCCCUCGACGCAACCUUUGACCUGGGCAUCACCCCUAGUGUCAUGGCUCCCCUUCCAAAACGGGCAGCCCUGGAGAAGGCCAACGGGGCCACAGCCAUGUUUAACACCGGCAUGCUUCAGUACCAACAAGCCCUGGCCAGCAUGCAGUUUCAGCAGCAGGCUGCUUUCCUCCCAUCAGGCUCAAUAUUGUGCAUGACACCUGCAGCCAGCGUUGUUCCCAUGAUGCACGGUGGUACUCCAGCCACUGCAGCCACCACAUCUGCCACAAGCGUUCCCUUCGCAACUGCCUCCACCAAUCAGGACUCUUCCUUAUCAAAGUUGACUACCAACGAAUACAUGCAAUUGGUAUGUAUGAGAUUCCAAUAAUAUCUGCAGAUCAUCUGAGUAGUCACAAGUACUUGACUCAAAUGUAGUUCCUCUUAAGAACAAUCAAAUGAAUGUGUGCUGGCACCGUCCAAGCCAAAAGAGUUAAGCCUUUAUGUACAUAACCUUCAGAAUGUCAAGCAAUGGGACAAGGAGGGUCAGCCAUCUCUUAGCCUGUCCCCAGCCAGGGACUCGUCACAUGCGUCAAGGGUACAACACACGAUCUGUGCCAUCCUCCCACAUAUCAAUAUCCAGAAGAAUUCGCCGUCAGAAUCAACGUCCAGCGGAGAAGAAGAAGAAGAGGAUAAGUUGGUGGAAACAAUCACGCGAUACCUCUGUGUCUAACUGAAUCCUGGCACUCUUCGCCACUCGUUAUCAUUACCGCAUGCACAGGAGGUCAAGAGCCUUGUUACACGAGACAACAUCUAGUGCUGGUACGUUAACAGACCAAGGGUUUUCCUUCCUUUUUCUUAUUAGUUCUUUUUUUUAUCCAGCUUUUAUUUACAAUUGAUAGCCAUAUUUCACAGUUUACAAGUGGAAUGCAAAUAUGCACCUUGAAUUUAAUUGAAAUCCGAAAGGCACAAUGAUAACAGAUAUUUUUUUUUGUCUUUUUGUUUUUAGUUUAGUUUUUUUCUCUCUCUCUCUCUCUUACUCUGCCAAAUGCAUCCGGCAUGUACAGUAUUGUGUUUUACGGCUACUAGUGAAACUAGAUGUUGAAAUGAGGGUUUUGGACAUAUGAAUGUUCUGGGUAAACCAACACACCUGUGUACCUUGAAAGCACAGCCAGGCUAGCUUUUCUCACCUUGUCAUGUGCCAUCGAGGCCGUACAGCUAAAACCAGAGUGUUAUAUCAGCAGUGUUAUUUGUUUACCGAAGGUAAAAAAAAAAAAAAAAAAAAAAAAAGUUUUGUAUGGCUCGUUUUGUAUUGUUUUCUUUUAGGAUCUCCAUUGUGAGUGUUUUUUUUUUUUUAAUCAUCAUAAUUUCAAUCUUUUUUUUUUUUUAGAUUUGAUUAGAUUUGAAAGUGGGGUUUAAUGUGUUUGAUUGUUUUUUAUUAUUAUAAUUCAAAUGGAGGUGUUUUUUUGUGUUUCGUUUUUUUAAAUCAGAGAUGCCUCAUUUAAUGAACUAGUUUUUUUUUUUAUUUGUCAGGUUAAUUUGUUAAUCAAGUCCGUCGACUCUAAAGCCUGGGGGAAAUAGAGGGGGUAGCUUUAUUCAGCGUCGCGUCACCUUAUUCCCUUCCUUUUUCAAAGAGGAGCAGCUCUAUAACCGUGUCUCUAGGAAGCACUUUUGAGCCAUUUAACAACAACAGGCCCAAAGGUCUAGUAGGUCAUCAAAAACCAUGUGUGCACUUCAAUUUGUCAGGUCACUCUGAUUUAGUUUCUCAUUUUUGCUUGGAUGCAGCUCGCAUUUUAAGUAAAAUACGACGCUUUUGUUGAUCUCACUAUGAAACCAAAGCACAGAUUUGCUCUUAAGUCUUAUUCACACUUAAGUCGAGGAUUAAACAGAUAAGGAAUAUAUAUUAAUUAUCUUUCCUCCGUGUGUGUGUUUUACGAUUGUUUCCCUCUUAGGUUUUCACAGAAGCGUGUGCCGUGUUUUUACCGAUGUUGUGUACCUAACAAAGCCUUAGAUCACGAUUUAUGGGCUUUGCCCAGUCAAAUGUCCUUUCAAUCACCAUGCAAGUAAAAAUAGAAAAAAAAAGUAAAACACCAAUGAUGUUUUAUAGUUCUCACAAGCCGCUUUUAAUCUUUUUUUUUUUUUGUUCGUCUCUGUCUCGCUCUCCGAAACAAUUACCCUCCUAGAUUUCAUUGAGUUUAUGUGUUAUGUACUACUUAAGAAUUAAAAUCUGAGGUAUGUAGUUUUAGAUUUUUCUCUUUUUUGUCUUUUUUUUUUUUUGCCUUACUAUAUUAUUACUUGACAACAUUCAUAUAGCCGUUGUAGACGUUAAGAUAGUAUGACAUUCAUAACUUUUUCAAACCAUAUAGAGGUUAAUGUGUUUAAAUACUCACUUCAUUCAUAUAGCUGGACGUCUUUUCUCAUUUGUUGUUGUAUUUGUCAGUUAAUUUUAUUGAUGAGAAACUUUUUGAUACGAGGAAUGAGGUGAUUAUCGGAAUAGCUUCGAUGUUCCUUGUAACAUGUCAAUGUCAUGUUUGAAAAUGCUAUAUUGUAUUGAUAAAAAAAAAUGGAUUGUCCAUGUUUUAGAGAGGAAAAAAAAAAUAACAAUUAUUUUCUACUGUAUCCAUUUCAAAGAAAUAUGUAGUUUUGUUUGAAUAUUAAGUUUGCCCUGAAUGUCGGGCCAAAACGAGCAGUGAGACUGAUGUUGAUGUUUGUUGAGAUUUGGAGUGAGGAGAGCCGAGGCUUUUCCCCACCACCCCCACUGGGGAAGAGUCGGACAUGCUGCAGAUAAUGAGUUCUAACCUAAGGGACAAAGGUUAACUUUUUGCACUUCUGUAUAUAGUAAAAUGAACAGAGAAAAAAAAAAACGUGUAUCAUAAUGAGAUAUUAUUUUGAAUAAAAGAAAAAAAGAUCUAUAAUUAUAAGGAAUUUUGUUAGAUUAAUUUAAAAUUCUUAAAUUAGAAGACCAGCUAAAAUUCGCUUGCAAAGAAGGGCACUAGUUUCUUGGCCAAUGCAUUCAGAGAAAGCUAUGCGCUUGUUUUAUAGGUGGCUCGUAAUGCCAGGGAACGUUGCAGGGGAGUGGAUUUCCCCGUGUCAUGCUAACUCUAUGCCUCUGAUAGGAUGACAUAUCCAUUAAGGUCCAUAUACUCAUUUACUGGACAAACAUUAUCCCAUGGUACAGUAGAUACAUGAAUCUAUUAAAAAAAAACAAUGCCUUCUACUAUAAUUUGAUUUGAUUGCAUGUAAACAAAAGAAGCUGUGUAGAUAUAUAAGGAAAGACGGCACCCGCAGAAUAAAGGAUCCACAGUACUUUAAAAAAAAAAAAGUUAGUUAUUUUGUUUCUGAAAUCAUACAACACCUACAGCAAGGAGAAAUAAGACUUUAAAAACGAGUCGUCUUACUCAAGAGUCUCCAAGCAAACAAGUGAUUUAAAGAAUAAUAACAUAUUAGCACUUGUCCACCUCAGAUAUGUUCCGAUAGAGAAUUACAGUCUCCACUAACUCACAAGCAGUUAUUCCUGCUUUUCUUAGCUGUGCACUCAGCAGGCGAAGGCUCGUCACACCAAAUGCACAUUUGGCAAAUUCCUCUUUAAAAUGAAUGUAAUAGUCAGUGUCAAUAUGUUUCUACCUUGAGGCUGCUUUGUAUAGUCGCUACAUAAACCAAAGCACCAUUUUCUCAAAAGCAAGACUAUUCAAGUCUUCUGGCUGCAACCAAGGUCUUUCUUCCCUGCUGGGUGCACAUGUUUGCUUUUGACUGCUUUUUACUUGUACGCGCACCCACCAGUUAUGUAUUUGCUAACCGCUGUCACACGAUAAUGUACUAUUCUGUCUCCAGAUUUGUUUAUGCUCAUUUUAUUGUUGCCAUAAUUGACUCUUGCUGUAUGGAUGAAAAUUAAAAAAAAAAAAAAAUCUGAAUAAAACUAUUUGAUUUGCUCAUGCAA